GCAAGUCGAACGGCAGCACGAAGAGCUUGCUCUUUGGUGGCGAGUGGCGGACGGGUGAGUAAUACUUAGGAAUCUAUCCAGUAGUUGGGGAUAACCCGGAGAAAUCCGGGCUAAUACCGAAUACGCACUACGGUGGAAAGAGGGGGAUCUUCGGACCUCUCACUAUUGGGUGAGCCUAAGCCGGAUUAGCUGGUUGGUGGGGUAAUGGCCUACCAAGGCUACGAUGGUUAGCUGGUCUGAGAGGAUGAUC
This 250-nucleotide ribosomal RNA is filed under the name uncultured bacterium. RNAcentral's name for it is "partial 16S ribosomal RNA". It matches the Rfam family "Bacterial small subunit ribosomal RNA", at positions 57 to 305 of the family's 1533-position model. The record is from RNAcentral.